Molecule: ribosomal RNA, 439 nt
Filed under: uncultured bacterium
Lineage: Bacteria
Description: partial 16S ribosomal RNA
Rfam family: Bacterial small subunit ribosomal RNA
Source: RNAcentral
CUACGGGCUGCUCCAGUGGGGAAUAUUGCACAAUGGAGGAAACUCUGAUGCAGCAACGCCGCGUGGAGGAUGACACUUUUCGGAGCGUAAACUCCUUUUAUAUAGGAAGAAGAUGACGGUACUAUAUGAAUAAGCGCCGGCUAACUCCGUGCCAGCAGCCGCGGUAAUACGGAGGGCGCAAGCGUUACUCGGAAUCACUGGGCGUAAAGAGCGUGUAGGCGGAUUAAAAAGUCAGAAGUGAAAUCCUAUAGCUUAACUAUAGAACUGCUUCUGAAACUCUUAAUCUAGAAUAUGGGAGAGGUAGAGGGAAUUUCUGGUGUAGGGGUAAAAUCCGUAGAGAUCAGAAGGAAUACCGAUUGCGAAGGCGAUCUACUAGAACAUUAUUGACGCUGAGACGUGGAAGCGUGGGGAGCAAACAGGAUUAGAUACCCGUGUAGUC